CAAAGCUGGAACUUCUGACCAGGUACCGUCUUUGUUAGGAAGUCUGCAGGAUUGACAUUAGUAUGAAUCUUGUGUAGGACAAUAUCCCCUGAUUCCACUAGAUCUCGAAUGAAGUUGAACUUGGUAGCUAUAUGCUUUGUCUUUUCGUGAUUGACUGGAUUUCUUGCUAGAGCUAGGGCACUUUGAGAAUCGCAGUAGAGUUUGAUCCCCUGUUGCUUGAAACCUAGUUCAUUGCAUAUUUCUUUUAGCCACAUUGCUUCUUUUGCUGCUUCAUUCAUAGCCAUGUACUCUGCUUCUGUAGUAGAUAAGGCAACCACUGAUUGUAGACAUGACUUCCAUGAGAUAGUAUUACCUCCAAAUUUGAAUGCAUAUCCAGUUACUGAACGCCUUCUAUCCAUGUCUGUUGCAUAAUCUGAGUCUGAGUAUCCUUCCACUAGGAGUGUAGAGUUCUUUCUGAAUGUUAAAUUCGAAUUCACUGCCCCCUUUAAGUACCUUAGGACCCACUGAACUGCUUUCCAGUGUUCCCUUCCUGGUUUACUCAUGAAUCUGCAGACGUAGCCUACUGCAAAACCUAGGUCAGGUCUGGAGCCUACCAUGGCGUACAUUAGGCUCCCCACGGCGCUGGCAUAGGGAACUCUUUCCAUCUGAGAAGCCUCCACUUUCAACUCGUCAUCUGUGAGACUUCUUAGUUUGAAGUGUGAUGCAGUAGGAGUAAUCACAGCCUUAGCGUCCUGCAUUUCAAACGUCCUUAGGACUUUCUCAAUGUAUUUGCUCUGAGAUAGGAUCAGGGUUCCCUUCUCUCGAUCUCUGGUGAUAUCCAUGCCCAAGAUUCUUGAGGCCUUUCCCAUGUCCUUCAUCUCAAAUUCUCCACUCAGCUUUUCCUUCAGCUCUUUGAUCACCUUUUUAUUUCCUGAGGCAAUCAACAUGUCAUCGACAUAUAGGAGUAGAUAGAUCGCCUUAUUAGUUUGAACAUCCCUCAUGUAGACACAUAGGUCCUUACUGCAACGUUCAAAUAGCUGAUCCUUCAUGAAGCUGUUGAACCGAUGGUUCCAUGUUCUUGGGGAUUGCUUCAAGCCAUACAGAGUCUUCCUUAACAGGCAUACUUUGUUCUCUGUCCCUGGCUUUAUGAACCCCUCGGGCUGUUCCAUAAGGAUUCUUUCCUCUAGGCUUCCAUGUAGGAAAGCAGUUUUAACAUCCAUCUGUUCUAAUUCCAAAUUCAAAUUCACUACAAUGCUGAGCAUAAGUCUGAUAGAGACAUGUUUCACAACAGGUGAAAAUAUUUCAUUGUAGUCAAUCCCUUCUGUCUGAGAAUAUCCUUUAGCAACUAGUCUGCCUUUGUAUCGUUCAUCCUCAACACCUGGGAUUCCUGGCUUUAGCUUGAAUAGCCAUCUGCAUCCAACAAGCUUUGCCUUUGUAGGCCUAUCAAUGAGAUCCCAGGUUCUGUUCUUUCUAUGAGAUUCCAUUUCUUCUUCUGCUGCCUGCUUCCAUAGUUUCUUUUCUCGGCUUCUCAUAGCUUCUGCGUAGCUUUUUGGUUCCUGAACUUCCAAGUCCUCAAUCACAUUGAGAGCGUAAGCUACAAAAUUCCCAUCUUCAUAUCGUGAUGGUGGUCUCACGUUCUGUCUCCUUUCCCUAUCUCGUGCCAGAACAUAGGUGUCUAGAGUUUCAGUGUCACCACUCUCACUCUCAACCUCGUGAUCACUUUCACUAUCAGCUUCGUGAUCUUGUUCUUGGUCACCUGAGCUGUUAGAGCUAGAUGAUGAUGAUUCUUCUCCACCUUGAUCAGAUGUGUCUUUGGAUUUGAUAGAAGGAGAAGGCCCUCUGAUCAAAUCAUCACUAAAUGAAACUUUCUUCUUAGUUCGUUUGUCAGUUCCUUUGGUCACUCAUGUGCUUCGUUUUUCUUUAGCAACAGUGUGUUUGUACAGCUCUUCUUCGUUAAAAACAACAUUUCUGCUGGUUCUGCAUCUGCCAUCGUCCUCUAUCCAAACUCGGUAACCUUUAGUACCCAUAGGAUAUCCCACGAAGACUCCCUUGAUGUCUAUCGGUCCCGUUUUCUCCUCAGUUAUAUGCACAUAAGCAGUGCAUCCAAAUGUUCUGAGAUGUCCCAAAUCGGGCUUAGCACAUGUCCAAACUUCUUCGGGCAUUUUGAAUUCUAGUGUAGAGUUAGGUGACCUGUUAAUCAGGUGGAUAGCAGUAGAUGCAACUUCUGCCCAGAAGCUUUGGUCUAGGCCAGAUUCGGCUAACAUGCAUCUCACUUUAUCCAUGAUGGUUCUGUUCAUCCUUUCUGAGACUCCAUUCUGCUGCGGGGUAUAGCUGCAAGUUCUGUGGCGUUUAAUUCCCACCUGUUUGCAGUAAUUAUCAAACUGCUUAUUACAGAACUCCAACCCAUUAUCUGUCCUUAGGCAUUUAAUUUUCUUCUCUGUCUUUGUCUCCACCUCAGCUUUCCAUUCUCUGAACUUAGAGAAUACCUCAUCCUUAGUCUUAAGAAAAUAAAUCCAAACCUUCUUAGAGAAAUCAUCAAUAAAUGUCACGAAAUAUUUGUUUCCAGCAAGGCUAUCUGGUGUAGAUGGAGAACCCCAAAGGUCAGAGUGAAUGUACUCUAGAAUCCCUUUAGUCACAUGUUUAGCCUUAGGAAAACUUUGCUUGUGAGAUUUUCCAAUUAUGCAGUGUUCACAGAAAUCCAAUGUCUUAACUUCCUUGUCAAUGAUAAAUCCCCGUUUGACAAGUUCAGACAUGUUAUUAAUAUUCAUAUGACCGAGGCGUGAGGCAUCUCACUUUAUCCAUGAUGGUUCUGUUCAUCCUUUCUGAGACUCCAUUCUGCUGCGGGGUAUAGCUGCAAGUUCUGUGGCGUUUAAUUCCCACCUGUUUGCAGUAAUUAUCAAACUGCUUAUUACAGAACUCCAACCCAUUAUCUGUCCUUAGGCAUUUAAUUUUCUUCUCUGUCUUUGUCUCCACCUCAGCUUUCCAUUCUCUGAACUUAGAGAAUACCUCAUCCUUAGUUUUCAGAAAAUAAAUCCAAACCUUCUUAGAGAAAUCAUCAAUAAAUGUCACGAAAUAUUUGUUUCCAGCAAGGCUAUCUGGUGUAGAUGGAGAACCCCAAAGGUCAGAGUGAAUGUACUCUAGAAUCCCUUUAGUCACAUGUUUAGCCUUAGGAAAACUUUGCUUGUGAGAUUUUCCAAUUAUGCAGUGUUCACAGAAAUCCAAUGUCUUAACUUCCUUGUCAAUGAUAAAUCCCCGUUUGACAAGUUCAGACAUGUUAUUAAGAUUCAUAUGACCGAGGCGUGAAUGCCAAACAUUAGUCAUAUUCCUCUCAACUUUAGAUAGAUUAGCCUCUCCUCGAGAGACUGUCCCCUGUAGAUAAUAUAAUCCCUGAUGAUAUUUCCCUGAGAUAACCGGUUGAUCAUCCUUAUAGAAAUUAACCAUGAGAUCCUUGCCUUCAUAUCUGCAUCCUGAUGUUUCCAACAUUCAAUAAGAGAUUAAAUUUCUACUCAUACCAGGCAUAUAUCUUACGCCUGUUAGAACCACAGUAGAUCCAUUUGGAUUUAGAAUUUUAAUCUUUCCAAUUCCUUGAAUGUUGCUAUGCGUGUUAUUUGCCAUUAACACUUUUCCACCUUUGAAUUCUUCCAGAUCGAACAGGAAACUCUUGUCUGGUGUGAUGUGGAACGAGCAGCCAGAGUCCAUCAUCCAUUCGUCCUUGGAGUAUUGGGUGCUUACGGUGAGAAUUAAAGGUUCCUUGGACUCUGUCACAACAUUAGCUGAGUCUGGCGUUUUGUAAGGCUUUUUAUCAGGGCAAUCACGCUUCCAGUGGCCCUCCUUGCCGCAUACAAAACAUCCCUUGGUGUUUUUGUUGUUUCUGGGAUGCGAUUUGGAACGUCCCUGUCUGCUCUUGGAUCUUCCCCUGUAGGAUUUUCCAUUGCCUUUGCCAGAGCGUUGGUCUGAUCUCCCCCUGUCUGUCACCAUCAGACCUUCUUUACCUGACCUGGUAAAUUUACCACUCUCGAUCAACUCUCUUUCUUUCGACCUUGCAGCCCCUGUAACCUCAGCUAGGCUUAGGGUGUCUCUCCCAUACUUGAGAGUCUCUUUGAGUUGAUCAUACUUGUUAGGUAGAGAACUUAGCAGUAGGAUAGCUUGAACUUCCUCGGAUACUUCAACUUGCAAAUUGUUUAAAUCUGCAACUAGCUUCAAGAAUUCAUCCACAUUCUCAUCAAUGGAUUUUGAGUCGGCCAUCUUGAAAGUGUAGAACCUAAGCUGUAGAUAAAUCCUGUUGGGUAAAGAUGUCUCUGUGUACAACUUGUUCAGUGUACUCCACAUUGCAGCAGCAGUCUCACAAUGUUGGAUUUUCCUUAAGACUUUGUUCCUAACAUUCAGCACAAUUAGGUCCUUCGCUUUCUCUGAUUUUUCAAAUUUUGCAGGAUCAAUUGCAGGUGUGGGCGCAACAAGCCCAGCUAGCCCCUUCCCCGUGUCCUUCAUGGCAGACUCAGGUUCAUCCUUUGGAUCCACGUCAUCCUUUAAAAGCUUCUCAUCGGUGAGAAUAGCUUUCAGUCCAAGCACUCCAAAAUGAGCAAGCAUCCUCACCUUCCAUAGGGCGAAAUCACCAUCACCCUCGAACCGGUCGAUCUCAAUGCGUUCCUUCGUGUUCACCAUCGAGCAGGUACUGACUAUACACCUCCUCUAUCUCUCUCUAUCCUAAGCAACCUUGAUGCAAACCGGAAGCUCUGAUACCACUUGUAGAGAUUUAUAAGCUUAGGUUACUUAGGUUAGAAGUUAUCUUGACCUAGGUCUAGUACUGAAAGUAAAGACACAAACGAUUUAACGAGUUCCCGGCCCUCGGCGCGGUACGUCUCGUGGGAGAACUUCUGCUCCCAAAAUCCACUAGAUCAAAGAGUCUCUAGCUACACCAAAUCAGUGUACUAGAUAGUUUACACAAGUAACAAUCAAUCCCCACAAGAGAAUACAACAAAGCCCCUUAGAUCAAUUAGACUUAGGCCUAAGCUUAUUGAUCUUGUAUUGUUGCCUCCUACUCUUGCACUUCAAUAUGAUUACUUGUUGUUGCCGCUGCUUGAUUUCCUUAAGCGUUAACCUAAUCAGCAUACUAACAUCUCAUAUAUAUGUUGUGUAUGUGAUCAGGUGUUGCUGCUGGAGUGGGCCUGCGACUUGCCUUGGCCCAUGAUGAGUGCUGCUGCUGGCCCAUCAGUAUGUGGGAAAGUCCAAACCUACACAGCAAACAGAAGGGUUGUGUUUCGAUAAGUUAUAUAUGAAAAGUGAUUCAAACAAUCGUAUGACCCAGCAGCGCUUUAUCUCUUAUUAC
Molecule: long non-coding RNA, 5305 nt
Filed under: Brassica napus (rape)
Lineage: Eukaryota; Viridiplantae; Streptophyta; Magnoliopsida; Brassicales; Brassicaceae
Description: long non-coding RNA (BNAP_LNC017326)
Source: RNAcentral